UUACGGUCAAAUCACGCUGAAACACCGGUUCUCGUACGAUCACCGAAGUUAAGCAGCGUAGAGCCAGGUCAGUACUUAGAUGUAAGCC
Molecule: non-coding RNA, 88 nt
Organism: Acanthosepion pharaonis
Lineage: Eukaryota; Metazoa; Mollusca; Cephalopoda; Sepiida; Sepiidae
Source: the annotation of a GenBank genome assembly